Molecule: ribosomal RNA, 253 nt
Filed under: uncultured bacterium
Lineage: Bacteria
Description: partial 16S ribosomal RNA
Rfam family: Bacterial small subunit ribosomal RNA
Source: RNAcentral
UACGUAGGGUGCAAGCGUUAAUCGGAAUUACUGGGCGUAAAGGGCGCGUAGGCGGCCUGCUAAGUCGAACGUGAAAUCCCCGGGCUCAACCCGGGAACUGCGUCCGAUACUGGCAGGCUUGAAUCCGGGAGAGGGAUGCGGAAUCCAGGUGUAGCGGUGAAAUGCGUAGAUAUCUGGAGGAACACCGGUGGCGAAGGCGGCAUCCUGGACCGGCAUUGACGCUGAGGCGCGAAAGCGUGGGGAGCAAACAGGG